Trichoplusia ni (cabbage looper) is the source of this 1238-nucleotide long non-coding RNA. RefSeq lists it as uncharacterized. The transcript has 3 exons. The record is from RefSeq and is a predicted model, not a curated record. Lineage: Eukaryota; Metazoa; Arthropoda; Insecta; Lepidoptera; Noctuidae.
UGUUAUUGAAGUUUCAGCUUUAUAUAUACCGAUGUAAGGUUUAUUAUUGCCUGAGGAGUGCACAGGGUGGCUGCUCCAUGCACCCCCUAGCUUGAAAGUUUUAGAACAAUCACUUCCAAAGGACUUACAACUGUAAUCCUAUUGAAAUAAGGUUAAUUAUCGAGUGGAGUGGUGUCGGGGUGGCAAUCCAUGCACCCCUUUGACCAGAAACUUCUAGAACAUUCUCAAUGCACUGGAUUAAGGACUUUAAAUGUAUGCCCAUAAGAUACGUUAUCGUGUGAUGUGAUAUCAGGGUGGUAGAUGCACCCUCUAGGUUGUGACAUGCGCGUUGCAAUCAGCUGAUUCUAGUCUGGUUUUCGAAAGGCUUUUUGGAGUCAGUACGCCUUCAGCCGUCCGUCGAGGACGACGGAGACAGACUGGUUCUUCAUCCUGCUGCCUGCCCUGUAGGACUGAAGUCCUGCAAUGCAGUACCUGGGUAUCUCUUUAUGACCCUCAGUGAAGAUUCGUCACCUCACUGCCGGGUCUCCGGGCGCUGCGGCCUGUCAUGGCCGCGGCUCCGGAAGUCUUAACAUCUGUGACGGAGAUUCCCAGUGAGCGAGGAUCCCUGAAUCCUCUCUGCGGCUGCAGCACCAGUUUGCCAAACCAUGGUCUCAAUAGUCAAAAACACGCCCGGCUCCAUAUCUUCACGGGUACCCUGACCCGGAGACGCGAAGAUAUGGAGCCGUCUUCCACCUUCCCGGCGUCUGGGACCAUGGCGGCUGGCGUGUCCUUAGGAGUUAGAUAACAAAGGCAGACGCGGAUUCAAGGAGAGGGGGUCUAGAGACAGCUAAUCCUUAGACCUUCUCCUAAACACCUUGGGCCCGCGUCGGAAACUCGGAAACCUUUCGGACGAAUGUCCAGAAUCCACUUAAUUCUCGAAGUUUUUUGAGUUUUAAGUGGAUUCAAAAAAGAUUAUUAGACAGAACUCUAAAAUUUUAUCACAUGUAUAAUGACAGACUUUUGAUAAAUCACAUUUAAUUAUAUUAUAAAAAUUAGGUUAAGGUAAUAUUGUGUUUUAUUUCGAACCUUAUUUAAACCUUUAUUCAAUACCAAUGAUGAUGCUUAAAAACUGAUAUCCAUUGGCUAAGAUGAUUAAAUAGUUUGAUCAAAACUCAAAACGUUGAUUCACAUUCCCAUCUACGUGCAGAUGAUCUUCAUCAUCAUCAUCAUCAUGCCCAUAUUCGUCCACUGGACAUAGG